This 460-nucleotide ribosomal RNA is filed under the name uncultured bacterium. Its description in RNAcentral is "partial 16S ribosomal RNA". It matches the Rfam family "Bacterial small subunit ribosomal RNA", at positions 338 to 795 of the family's 1533-position model. The record is from RNAcentral.
CCUACGGGCGGCAGCAGUGAGGAAUAUUGGUCAAUGGGCGCGAGCCUGAACCAGCCAAGUAGCGUGAAGGAUGACUGCCCUACGGGUUGUAAACUUCUUUUAUAAAGGAAUAAAGUGAGGCACGUGUGCCUUUUUGUAUGUACUUUAUGACUAAGGAUCGGCUAACUCCGUGCCAGCAGCCGCGGUAAUACGGAGGAUCCGAGCGUUAUCCGGAUUUAUUGGGUUUAAAGGGAGCGUAGAUGGGUUGUUAAGUCAGUUGUGAAAGUUUGCGGCUCAACCGUGAAAUUGCAAUUGAUACUGGCAGUCUUGAGUAUCGGUGAGGUAGGCGGAAUUCGUGGUGUAGCGGUGAAAUGCUUAGAUAUCACGAAGAACACCAAUUGCGAAGGCAGCUUACUAAACGACCACUGACAGUGAUGCGCGAAAGUGUGGGUAGCAAACAGGAUUAGAUACCCGAGUAGUC